AACGUAGGAGACAAACGUUAUCCGGAGUUACUGGGCGUAAAGCGCGUGUAGGCGGCCCAACUAAGUCGGGCGUGAAAUCCCACGGCUCAACCGUGGAAGUGCACUCGAAACUGGAUGGCUAGAGUCCUGGAGAGGAAGGUGGAAUGCUUGGUGUAGAGGUGAAAUUCGUAGAUAUCAAGCGGAACACCGGUGGCGAAGGCGGCCUCUGGACAGUGACUGACGCUGAGACGGGCGAA
Molecule: ribosomal RNA, 236 nt
Filed under: uncultured bacterium
Lineage: Bacteria
Description: partial 16S ribosomal RNA
Rfam family: Bacterial small subunit ribosomal RNA
Source: RNAcentral